UGCAGCUGUGUCAAAUUCGGUGCCUGCCCCACAUAUGGCAGGCUCCGGUCCAGAAGGCUGCCACAGUGACACUGUGACUCAUGGGCCCUGAUCCCCAUUCCUGGGCCUCAGGGAUAAGUUUGGUUACAGACAACC
Molecule: small nucleolar RNA, 135 nt
Organism: Talpa occidentalis (Iberian mole)
Lineage: Eukaryota; Metazoa; Chordata; Mammalia; Eulipotyphla; Talpidae
Product: small nucleolar RNA SNORA5
Exons: 1
Source: RefSeq, a predicted model, not a curated record